UGAGUACGAGACGCUAAGGCGUUGAAGCAGUCUAUGUCAGACUUCCAAGAAAAGCUCGCAAUGUCAUAAACAAAAAUGCCUGUACCAUAACCGACACAGGUGGGUAGGUAGAGUAUACUAAGGGGCGCGAGAUAACUCUCUCUAAGGAACUCGGCAAAAUGACUCCGUAACUUCGGGAGAAGGAGUGCCUUAUUUUUAUAAGGUUGCAAUAACAAGAUCCAAGCAACUGUUUACCAAAAACACAGGUCUCCGCUAAGUCGUAAGACGAUGUAUGGGGGCUGACGCCUGCCCAGUGCCAGAAGGUUAAAGAAGUUGGUUAGUUUCGGCGAAGCUGAUGACUGAAGCCCUGGUGAACGGCGGCCGUAACAAUAACGGUCCUAAGGUAGCGAAAUUCCUUGUCGGGUAAGUUCCGACCCGCACGAAAGGCGUAAUGAUUUGGAUACUGUCUCGGAGAGGGGCUCGGUGAAAUAGACUUGUCUGUGAAGAUGCGGACUACCUGCACCUGGACAGAAAGACCCUAUGAAGCUUUACUGUAACUUGAGAUUGAAAUUGGACUUUAUUUGCGCAGUAUAGGUGGGAGACGUUGAGAAUAUUCUUGCGGGAAUAUUGGAGUCAUCAGUGAGAUACCACUCUUGUAAUGUUAGAUUUCUAACUUUGUAUCAUUAUCUGGUCAAAGGACAGUUUCAGGCGGGCAGUUUGACUGGGGCGGUCGCCUCCCAAACGGUAACGGAGGCGCACAAAGGUUUCCUCGAACGUGUAGAAAUCGUAUCUAGAGUGUAAAGGCAUAAGGAAGCUUGACUGUGAGACCUACAAGUCGAGCAGGGACGAAAGUCGGUCUUAGUGAUCUGACGGUGCUGAGUGGAAAGGCCGUCACUCAACGGAUAAAAGUUACUCUAAGGAUAACAGGCUGAUCUCCCCCAAGAGUUCACAUCGACGGGGAGGUUUGGCACCUCGAUGUCGGCUCAUCGCAUCCUGGGGCGGUAGUACGUCCCAAGGGUUGGGCUGUUCGCCCAUGAAAGCGGUACGCGAGCUGGGUUCAGAACGUCGUGAGACAGUUCGGUCCAUAUCCGGUGUAGGCGUUAGAAUAUUGAGAGGAGCCUUCUUUAGUACGAGAGGACCGAGAAGGACAUACCUCUGGUGUACCAGUUAUCGUGCCAACGGUAAACGCUGGGUAGCUAUGUAUGGAGUGGAUAACCGCUGAAAGCAUCUAAGUGGGAAGCCCACCUCAAGAUAAGUAUUCUC
Molecule: ribosomal RNA, 1242 nt
Filed under: metagenome
Description: bacterial LSU rRNA
Rfam family: Bacterial large subunit ribosomal RNA
Source: RNAcentral